GACAGAGGGUGUUAGCGUUGUUCGGAAUUACUGGGCGUAAAGCGCACGUAGGCGGCUUUGCAAGUUAGAGGUGAAAGCCCGGGGCUCAACUCCGGAAUUGCCUUUAAAACUGCAUCGCUAGAGUUGUGGAGAGGUAAGUGGAAUUCCGAGUGUAGAGGUGAAAUUCGUAGAUAUUCGGAAGAACACCAGUGGCGAAGGCGACUUACUGGACACAUACUGACGCUGAGGUGCGAAAGCGUGGGGAGCAAACAGG
This 253-nucleotide ribosomal RNA is filed under the name uncultured bacterium. RNAcentral's name for it is "partial 16S ribosomal RNA". It matches the Rfam family "Bacterial small subunit ribosomal RNA", at positions 524 to 776 of the family's 1533-position model. The record is from RNAcentral.